This 253-nucleotide ribosomal RNA is filed under the name uncultured bacterium. RNAcentral's name for it is "partial 16S ribosomal RNA". It matches the Rfam family "Bacterial small subunit ribosomal RNA", at positions 524 to 776 of the family's 1533-position model. The record is from RNAcentral.
UACGUAGGGUGCGAGCGUUAUUCGGAAUUACUGGGCGUAAAGUGUGCGCAGGCGGCUGAGCAAGUCGAGUGUGAAAUCCCCGGGCUUAACUUGGGAAUUGCGCUCGAAACUACUUGGCUGGAGUAUGGCAGAGGAAGGUGGAAUUCCACGUGUAGCGGUGAAAUGCGUAGAGAUGUGGAGGAACACCGAUGGCGAAGGCAGCCUUCUGGGCCAAUACUGACGCUCAUGCACGAAAGCGUGGGGAGCAAACAGG